This 451-nucleotide ribosomal RNA is filed under the name uncultured bacterium. Its description in RNAcentral is "partial 16S ribosomal RNA". It matches the Rfam family "Bacterial small subunit ribosomal RNA", at positions 354 to 796 of the family's 1533-position model. The record is from RNAcentral.
GUGGGGAAUAUUGCGCAAUGGGGGAAACCCUGACGCAGCGACGCCGUGUGAGGGAAGAAGGCUUUCGGGUCGUAAACCUCUGUCAGAAAGGAAGAACCUCCCAAGUCCGAAUAGGGCUUGGGACUGACGGUACUUUCAAAGGAAGCACCGGCUAACUCCGUGCCAGCAGCCGCGGUAAUACGGAGGGUGCAAGCGUUAAUCGGAAUCACUGGGCGUAAAGCGCGCGUAGGCCGCUUUGUAAGUCGGACGUGAAAGCCCUCGGCUCAACCGGGGAACUGAGUUCGAUACUGCGAGGCUUGAGUCCUGGAGAGGGUGGCGGAAUUCCGGGUGUAGGAGUGAAAUCCGUAGAUAUCCGGAGGAACACCGGUGGCGAAGGCGACCACCUGGACAGGUACUGACGCUGAGGCGCGAAAGCGUGGGGAGCAAACAGGAUUAGAAACCCCUGUAGUCC